GCUGUUGCCACCUUUUGAUAAUUAUCCCUAUGAUAAGCAUUUUUGGGACUUUUGUUCCAGUUGACACAAAAACCAAAGUGUAGGAAACAUCCAAAAUCCAGUUAUCCAAAGGAAAAAGCACUAGGUCUGUUUUAUUAGACACACAUUUGACACAGGGCAGGCAUAUCAAAAUCAAUCAAUGGUGGGUGUCAAAUAGUUAUAUUAUGAAAUUCACUCUUUAGGUGGUUAUCCUAUUAAACUUAAAUUAGAGAAUGGAAACGAAAAAUUCAGCAUUUUUUUUCCAUUUGUAAAGGGGCACAACUCUAGAAUGGUUAAGUGGUUGGUGGUCUACACCAUCAUAAUUCAAACUUGAUCUGUGUUUUGUAGUAGUAAGCAUUGUGUUAAAGUUUCAAAAAAUUUGGUAGAGGUAAACUAAAGUUAGAGAAAGGAUACCAACUAUGUGACGUACAGAUGGACAAGGGUAAAACUUAAUGCCACCUCAUUUAUAGCUGGGUAUAAAAAUAAGAAUUGUUUUGCUAAAUAUCUCAAAUCAUGCUGGGACUAUUAAUUGGGACCUUUACACCUUUGAAAAUGAAAAAAAUAGUCCCAAGUUUUUCCGAAAGCCAAGCAGUGGGUAUGGUUCUGAUGAAGCCUACAAUUAGCUUCAAGGCUGGGCCUUUUCUGAUGCCUCAAAAAAGUGUAGCUGAGGAAGGACAUGAUAUUUGUCCAUCUACAGAAACAAUAUUUAAAUGUUUUUCAUAUUAACAGACAAACAACAUAUCAUUCCAAUUUGCAAUAUGUGUUUAUCUUCAGACAAUUGAAAUUGAACACAACAUUGUUUGACAUAUUACUUAGUAAUUUUAGAAUUUUAGAAAAGAAGAUUUCUGAA
RNAcentral lists this long non-coding RNA (868 nucleotides) under Mytilus galloprovincialis (Mediterranean mussel). The record is from RNAcentral. Lineage: Eukaryota; Metazoa; Mollusca; Bivalvia; Mytilida; Mytilidae.